AUGGAGCUUCCGAAUCGACGAUCCACUCCGUUAAAUAUGAUCUAGAGUAUUUGAAAUUUCUAAAAAAUAAAUUUCGUAAAUUUUUGAAAUCAUAAUAAAGUCUAUCAAGUGGGCAUAAAAUGAACGGUCAAAAUCAAACGACAUCCUAAAAAAGCAUGAUUGGAUCCUUCAAUUCAAGAUCGGAGUUAUUGAUCUUUAUCUAUGUAGUGAAUAAAAUUUUCUAUCAAAAAAUCAACAAAUUUCGAUUCUUUUACACCGUUAAACUAGAAAGUAUUCCAUACCGGCCGUUAAAAAUUGUCAAAUUUGUGACCUCUUGAUCCUAAGGUAAAUAAUGUCGAAAAAUUAUAAAAUUUGAUUUCUAGAAGUUUUAAAUGCUGUAAAUAAUGUUUAACGGUGUGGAUCGUCAAUUCGGAAGCUCUAUUAUCGAAAACAACUUAUGACUACGAGGGCGAUCGUACUCAUAAUAGUAUAGUAGCCGGACCCUAUAUAUAUAUAUAUAUAUAUAUAUAUAUAUAUAUAUCAAGAGAGAAAAUCUGGCUACUAUACUAUCGAUAGUAGCAAGUGCUUGAUACAAUCGAGUUUUUCGUCGUUAGAUCUACCUCUUUCACUAUUUGUCUAUUUCUAUCUAUUAAAUCAUAUUAUUCAAUCAACCACCCACUCAACCCUAAGAGACCACUAUCAUUCUAGCCGCACAUCAUUUCUUCCAAGGGCCGAAAAUUUAAUAACACAAAGUGUUUGGUACUAUUAAUAGUAUAAUAACCUAAUUUUAUAUUUAUAUAUACACACGAAUCUUAAUUAAUCUCCAUCUAUUAGCUUUUUUAUGUUUUUUAAUU
This 833-nucleotide long non-coding RNA is filed under the name Ananas comosus (pineapple). Its description in RNAcentral is "long non-coding RNA (ACOM_LNC007854)". Lineage: Eukaryota; Viridiplantae; Streptophyta; Magnoliopsida; Poales; Bromeliaceae. The record is from RNAcentral.